This 119-nucleotide ribosomal RNA is filed under the name Pteropus alecto (black flying fox). The record is from RNAcentral. Lineage: Eukaryota; Metazoa; Chordata; Mammalia; Chiroptera; Pteropodidae.
GUCUAUGGCCAUGCUACCCUGAACAAGCCCGAUCCCAUCUGAUCUUGGAAGCUGAGCAGGGUUGGGCCUGGCUAGUACUUGGAUGGGAGACCACCUAGGAAGACCAGGUGCUGUAGGUG